AGAGUUUGAUCCUGGUUCAGAACGAACGCUGGCGGCAGGCUUAACACAUGCAAGUCGAGCGCACUCUUUUAGAGUGAGCGGCAAACGGGUGAGUAACGCGUGGGAAUCUACCCAUCUCUACGGAAUAACACAGAGAAAUUUGUGCUAAUACCGUAUACGUCCUUAGGGAGAAAGAUUUAUCGGAGAUGGAUGAGCCCGCGUUGGAUUAGCUAGUUGGUGAGGUAACGGCUCACCAAGGCGACGAUCCAUAGCUGGUCUGAGAGGAUGAUCAGCCACACUGGGACUGAGACACGGCCCAGACUCCUACGGGAGGCAGCAGUGGGGAAUAUUGGACAAUGGGGGCAACCCUGAUCCAGCCAUGCCGCGUGAGUGAUGAAGGCCCUAGGGUUGUAAAGCUCUUUCACCGGUGAAGAUAAUGACGGUAACCGGAGAAGAAGCCCCGGCUAACUUCGUGCCAGCAGCCGCGGUAAUACGAAGGGGGCUAGCGUUGUUCGGAAUUACUGGGCGUAAAGA
RNAcentral lists this ribosomal RNA (513 nucleotides) under Bartonella henselae. Its description in RNAcentral is "bacterial SSU rRNA". It matches the Rfam family "Bacterial small subunit ribosomal RNA", at positions 8 to 566 of the family's 1533-position model. Lineage: Bacteria; Pseudomonadati; Pseudomonadota; Alphaproteobacteria; Hyphomicrobiales; Bartonellaceae. The record is from RNAcentral.